RNAcentral lists this ribosomal RNA (810 nucleotides) under uncultured euryarchaeote. RNAcentral's name for it is "bacterial SSU rRNA". It matches the Rfam family "Archaeal small subunit ribosomal RNA", at positions 49 to 859 of the family's 1478-position model. The record is from RNAcentral. Lineage: Archaea; Methanobacteriati; Methanobacteriota.
GCAUGCUAGUUGUACGAGUUCAGACUCGUAGCAGAUAGCUCAGUAACACGUGGCCAAACUACCCUAUGGAUCCGGACAACCUCGGGAAACUGAGGCUAAUCCGGAAUACGACUCUCAGCCUGGAAGUGGCGAGAGUCAGAAACGCCCCGGCGCCAUAGGAUGUGGCUGCGGCCGAUUAGGUAGACGGUGGGGUAACGGCCCACCGUGCCCAUAAUCGGUACGGGUUGUGAGAGCAAGAGCCCGGAGACGGUAUCUGAGACAAGAUACCGGGCCCUACGGGGCGCAGCAGGCGCGAAACCUUUACACUGCACGAAAGUGCGAUAAGGGGACUCCAAGUGCGAGGGCAUAUAGUCCUCGCUUUUCACUACCGUAAGGAGGUAGUAGAAUAAGUGCUGGGCAAGACCGGUGCCAGCCGCCGCGGUAAUACCGGCAGCACGAGUGAUGACCGCUCUUAUUGGGCCUAAAGCGUCCGUAGCUGGCCACGCAAGUCUAUCGGGAAAUCCGCGCGCUCAACGCGCGGGCGUCCGGUGGAAACUGUGUGGCUUGGGACCGGAAGAUCCAGAGGGUACGUCUGGGGUAGGAGUGAAAUCCCGUAAUCCUGGACGGACCACCGGUGGCGAAAGCGCUCUGGAAAGACGGAUCCGACGGUGAGGGACGAAAGCCCGGGUCACGAACCGGAUUAGAUACCCGGGUAGUCCGAGCUGUAAACGAUGUCUGCUAGGUGUGCCACAGGCUACGAGCCUGUGGUGUGCCGUAGGGAAGCCGUGAAGCAGACCGCCUGGGAAGUACGUCCGCAAGGAUGAAACUUAA